This 492-nucleotide ribosomal RNA is filed under the name uncultured bacterium. RNAcentral's name for it is "partial 16S ribosomal RNA". It matches the Rfam family "Bacterial small subunit ribosomal RNA", at positions 29 to 507 of the family's 1533-position model. The record is from RNAcentral.
AGUGAACGCUGGCGGUGGGCCUAACACAUGCCAGUUGAACGGCAGCACAGUAAGAGCUUGCUCUUACGGGUGGCGAGUGGCGGACGGGUGAGGAAUACAUCGGAAUCUACUUUUUCGUGGGGGAUAACGUAGGGAAACUUACGCUAAUACCGCAUACGACCUACGGGUGAAAGCAGGGGAUCUUCGGACCUUGCGCGAUUGAAUGAGCCGAUGUCGGAUUAGCUAGUUGGCGGGGUAAAGGCCCACCAAGGCGACGAUCCGUAGCUGGUCUGAGAGGAUGAUCAGCCACACUGGAACUGAGACACGGUCCAGACUCCUACGGGAGGCAGCAGUGGGGAAUAUUGGACAAUGGGCGCAAGCCUGAUCCAGCCAUACCGCGUGGGUGAAGAAGGCCUUCGGGUUGUAAAGCCCUUUUGCUGGGAAAGAAAAGCAGCAGGUUAAUACCCCGCUGUUCUGACGGUACCCAAAGAAUAAGCACCGGCUAACUUCGUG